AACGAACGCUGGCGGCAGGCUUAGCACAUGCAAGUCGAACGCCCCGCAAGGGGAGUGGCAGACGGGUGAGUAACACGUGGGAACGUGCCCAAAGGUACGGAACAACUCCGGGAAACUGGAGCUAAUACCGUAUGUGUCCGCAAGGAGAAAGAUUUAUCGCCUUUGGAUCGGCCCGCGUCGGAUUAGCUAGUUGGUGGGGUAAUGGCCUACCAAGGCGACGAUCCGUAGCUGGUUUGAGAGAACGACCAGCCACACUGGGACUGAGACACGGCCCAGACUCCUACGGGAGGCAGCAGUGGGAAAUCUUGGACAAUGGGCGCAAGCCUGAUCCAGCCAUGCCGCGUGGAUGAUGAAGGCCUUAGGGUUGUAAAAUCCUUUCGUCAGGGACGAUAAUGACGGUACCUGAAGAAGAAGCCCCGGCUAACUUCGUGCCAGCCGCCGCCGUAA
Molecule: ribosomal RNA, 447 nt
Filed under: uncultured bacterium
Lineage: Bacteria
Description: partial 16S ribosomal RNA
Rfam family: Bacterial small subunit ribosomal RNA
Source: RNAcentral